AGUGAACGCUGGCGGUAGGCCUAACACAUGCAAGUCGAACGGCAGCACAGUAAGAGCUUGCUCUUACGGGUGGCGAGUGGCGGACGGGUGAGGAAUACAUCGGAAUCUACUUUUUCGUGGGGGAUAACGUAGGGAAACUUACGCUAAUACCGCAUACGACCUACGGGUGAAAGCAGGGGAUCUUCGGACCUUGCGCGAUUGAAUGAGCCGAUGUCGGAUUAGCUAGUUGGCGGGGUAAAGGCCCACCAAGGCGACGAUCCGUAGCUGGUCUGAGAGGAUGAUCAGCCACACUGGACCUGAGACACGGUCCAGACUCCUACGGGAGGCAGCAGUGGGGAAUAUUGGACAAUGGGCGCAAGCCUGAUCCAGCCAUACCGCGUGGGUGAAGAGGGCCUUCGGGUUGUAAAGCCCUUUUGUUGGGAAAGAAAAGCAGCAGGUUAAUACCCCGCUGUUCUGACGGUACCCAAAGAAUAAGCACCGGCUAACUUCGU
Molecule: ribosomal RNA, 491 nt
Filed under: uncultured bacterium
Lineage: Bacteria
Description: partial 16S ribosomal RNA
Rfam family: Bacterial small subunit ribosomal RNA
Source: RNAcentral